AUGAUCUGGCUCCAGUGCAUUUAACCGAGAAAACCUUUCACCUUGUACUAAAGAUUUCCUUGUAUUGGAGCAAUUAUGAGUAUUCACCAUCGUGUUAGUUUCCAUAAAGUAUCGAAAC
Molecule: small nuclear RNA, 118 nt
Filed under: Angiostrongylus costaricensis
Lineage: Eukaryota; Metazoa; Nematoda; Chromadorea; Rhabditida; Metastrongylidae
Description: U5 spliceosomal RNA
Rfam family: U5 spliceosomal RNA
About the family: U5 RNA is a component of both types of known spliceosome.
Source: Rfam by way of RNAcentral